GUUCCUGUAGUGCAAUGGAUAGCACGCUGGACUUUUAAUCCAAAGGCGUGUGUUCGAAUCCCACCUGGGAUG
Trichonephila clavata is the source of this 72-nucleotide non-coding RNA. Lineage: Eukaryota; Metazoa; Arthropoda; Arachnida; Araneae; Nephilidae. The record is from the annotation of a GenBank genome assembly.